ACUCCUACGGGAGGGCAGCAGUAGGGAAGUCUUCCACAAUGGGCGCAAGCCUGAUGGAGCAACACCGCGUGAGUGAAGAAGGGUUUCGGCUCGUAAAGCUCUGUUGUUAAAGAAGAACACGUAUGAGAGUAACUGUUCAUACGUUGACGGUAUUUAACCAGAAAGUCACGGCUAACUACGUGCCAGCAGCCGCGGUAAUACGUAGGUGGCAAGCGUUAUCCGGAUUUAUUGGGCGUAAAGAGAGUGCAGGCGGUUUUCUAAGUUCUGAUGUGAAAGCCUUCGGCUUAACCGGAGAAGUGCAUCGGAAACUGGAUAACUUGAGUGCAGAAGAGGGUAGUGGAACUCCAUGUGUAGCGGUGGAAUGCGUAGAUAUAUGGAAGAACACCAGUGGCGAAGGCGGCUACCUGGUCUGCAACUGACGCUGAGACUCGAAAGCAUGGGUAGCGAACAGGAUUAGAUACCCUGGUAGGAUAGCG
Molecule: ribosomal RNA, 476 nt
Filed under: uncultured bacterium
Lineage: Bacteria
Description: bacterial SSU rRNA
Rfam family: Bacterial small subunit ribosomal RNA
Source: RNAcentral